RNAcentral lists this ribosomal RNA (464 nucleotides) under uncultured bacterium. RNAcentral describes it as "partial 16S ribosomal RNA". It matches the Rfam family "Bacterial small subunit ribosomal RNA", at positions 28 to 506 of the family's 1533-position model. The record is from RNAcentral.
GACGAACGCUGGCGGCGUGCUUAACACAUGCAAGUCGAACGGAAAGGCCCCUUUGGGGGUACUCGAGUGGCGAACGGGUGAGUAACACGUGAGUAACCUGCCCUUGACUUCGGGAUAACUUCAGGAAACUGGGGCUAAUACCGGAUAGGAAUCCUUGCUGCAUGGUGGGGGUUGGAAAGCUUCGGCGGUUUUGGAUGGACUCGCGGCUUAUCAGCUUGUUGGGGGGGUAGUGGCUUACCAAGGCUUUGACGGGUAGCCGGCCUGAGAGGGCGACCGGCCACAUUGGGACUGAGAUACGGCCCAGACUCCUACGGGAGGCAGCAGUGGGGAAUAUUGCACAAUGGGCGGAAGCCUGAUGCAGCAACGCCGCGUGCGGGAUGACGGCCUUCGGGUUGUAAACCGCUUUCAGCAGGGGCGAAGCUUGUGGUGACGGUACCUGCAGAAGAAGCACCGGCUAACUACGU